CACGUAGGGGGCGAGCGUUGUCCGGAUUUAUUGGGCGUAAAGAGCUCGUAGGCGGUUUGUCGCGUCUGCCGUGAAAGUCCGGGGCUCAACUCCGGAUCUGCGGUGGGUACGGGCAGACUAGAGUGAUGUAGGGGAGACUGGAAUUCCUGGUGUAGCGGUGAAAUGCGCAGAUAUCAGGAGGAACACCGAUGGCGAAGGCAGGUCUCUGGGCCACUACUGACGCUGAGAAGCGAAAGCAUGGGGAGCGAACAGG
Molecule: ribosomal RNA, 253 nt
Filed under: uncultured bacterium
Lineage: Bacteria
Description: partial 16S ribosomal RNA
Rfam family: Bacterial small subunit ribosomal RNA
Source: RNAcentral